UGAGGAAUUUUGCGCAAUGGGCGAAAGCCUGACGCAGCAACGCCGCGUGAGUGAUGAAGGCUUUUGGGUCGUAAAGCUCUGUCAAUGGGAAAGAAAGUGUUAUAUAUUAAUAGUGUAUAGUAUUGACGGUACCCAUGAAGGAAGCACCGGCUAACUCCGUGCCAGCAGCCGCGGUAACACGGGGGGUGCAAGCGUUAUUCGGAAUUAUUGGGCGUAAAGGGCGCGCAGGCGGAAAUGCAGGUCAGAUGUGAAAGCCCGGGGCUCACCCCCGGAAGAGCAUUUGAAACCGUGUUUCUUGAAUAUGGUAGAGGGUAGUGGAAUUCCUGGUGUAGAGGUGAAAUUCGUAGAUAUCAGGAGGAACACCGGUGGCGAAGGCGACUACCUGGGCCAAUAUUGACGCUGAGGCGCGAAGGCGUGGGGAGCAAACA
This 428-nucleotide ribosomal RNA is filed under the name uncultured bacterium. RNAcentral's name for it is "bacterial SSU rRNA". It matches the Rfam family "Bacterial small subunit ribosomal RNA", at positions 355 to 774 of the family's 1533-position model. The record is from RNAcentral.